Molecule: ribosomal RNA, 460 nt
Filed under: uncultured bacterium
Lineage: Bacteria
Description: partial 16S ribosomal RNA
Rfam family: Bacterial small subunit ribosomal RNA
Source: RNAcentral
CCUACGGGCGGCAGCAGUGAGGAAUAUUGGUCAAUGGACGAGAGUCUGAACCAGCCAAGUAGCGUGAAGGAUGACUGCCCUAUGGGUUGUAAACUUCUUUUAUAUGGGAAUAAAACAGGGUAUGCAUACCCUCUUGUAUGUACCAUAUGAAUAAGGAUCGGCUAACUCCGUGCCAGCAGCCGCGGUAAUACGGAGGAUCCGAGCGUUAUCCGGAUUUAUUGGGUUUAAAGGGCGCGUAGGUGGAUUGUUAAGUCAGUUGUGAAAGUUUGCGGCUCAACCGUAAAAUUGCAGUUGAAACUGGCAGUCGUGAGUACAGUAGAGGUGGGCGGAAUUCGUGGGGUAGCGGUGAAAUGCUGAGAUAUCACGAAGAACUCCGAUUGCGAAGGCAGCUCACUGGACUGCAACUGACACUGAUGCUCGAAAGUGUGGGUAUCAAACAGGAUUAGAUACCCCAGUAGUC